AUAUGUUGGAGUCCUGACCUCAGAAUGUGGUUGUAUUUGGAGAGAGCUCUUGGGGUGUUUUUUUUUCAGCUUUAUUGAGAUAUAAUUGACAUAGGACAUUGUGAAAAUUUAAGAUAUACAACAUGCAAAUUGAAUACAUUUAUGUAUCGCAGUACGAUUACCCUCACAGCGCUAACCUUCAUCACAUCGCGUAAUUACUGUUCCUUUUUUGUGCUGAGAACGUUUAAGGUCUACUCUCUUAGCAACUUGGAAGCAUAGAAUGCAGUAUUGUUAGCUGGAAUCACAAUGCUGUGCAUCCGAUCCUCAGAAGGUGUUUGUUCACCUUCCAAGUGGGAGCUGGUGCCCUUUUACCCGUCUCCCCACUUCCCCUCACCCCCAGCUCCUGGUAACCAUCAUUCUGCCCUCCAUUUCUACGAGUUUGGCUUUUUUAGAUCCUGUGCAUGGGACGUGACAUGCAGUAUUCGUCAUCCUCCGUCUGAUGUAUUUCGCGUAGCGUUAUGCCCACAGAGGUCCGCUCCCGGGUGCCCGCAGCAUUUUUGCACCAUAACCCAGCUAUGGAAACGUCCCAGGUGCCUGUCAGCGGGCAAAUGCAUAAAGCAGAUGUGGUAUAAAUAUACAAUGGUGUGUUAUUCAUCCACAAAGUGAAGGAAAUCCUGCCGCUUGGGACAUCACAAAGAUAAGGUCCUUACAGAGAUAAAGGAAGCCGGAUAGGCUUCGCUCAGCAAGCAAGCCGGUGGGGGAGACAGAGAAGGUGACAUCGGAGUCCUAAUCUUCCUGCCCAACGCCUGGGCCAUCUGAAUAAGAGAUGCUGGGAAAUCAGGAAACCUGACUUUAAGUCCUGGCUCUGGUUAAGCACUGAAUUACCGUCCAUCAGCACUGUGGUCCAUCAGCGGGGUCCAGGAUCGCUGCUGAUGGCUGGACGCUCGCCUCCUCCCUGCCCUUCUCCGUGACGCGCACACCCCCCUCAAAAUGACAUGCCGUGGUGCGCACGUGCAGCAAACAAAUGUGACUGUCUUUCUUGCCUGGUUGAUCCCAUAAUCAGUGGUCACGGGGAACUUGGGCUCCCCAGCAAGCCCACCAGUCACGGUUGGCUCCGUCUGACCUGCUCCUCGGGGCUUGGCCCGGCUCUUUCUGGAGCUCGCUCCGUCUGCCCAGGAAAUGUCUACACGUCCCCAGAUAACGGAAGGCCCCGGCUGAAGAGGGACAAGGUCACAGCAAAGCAGGCCAGAAGCACAAGUGUAUUAACUUGCCUUCAAAACUGUGUUCUCCUAUAAUUUAGAAAAGGAUCGCGUUCUUCAGAGGGUUCAAAAAGCCUGGCACAGAGAAGAUCUAUAAGUUUUGCAGGUGAAAUGAACCCGCAUUUCAUGAAUUUACACAUGUGGAGAGGAUACGAACCCAGGUCACAGGACACUGCCUGUGGUCUCUAAAUACUUGUGUUCUUUGAGAAAGAACACAUUCCGUGAAAAUAUUGUUUACCACCGUUGGCACUUUAUGUUAUGUUUCAUUGCCAAAUUACUUCUCACAACAGUUGUAAUUAUCCAUAUACCAAAGGGAAGAGGAGCUAGUUUUUUUUUUUUAAUUUUUUUUAACGUUUAUUUAUUUUUGAGAGAGAGAGAAAGUUUUC
Felis catus (domestic cat) is the source of this 1624-nucleotide long non-coding RNA. RefSeq lists it as uncharacterized. The record is from RefSeq and is a predicted model, not a curated record. The transcript is spliced from 3 exons. Lineage: Eukaryota; Metazoa; Chordata; Mammalia; Carnivora; Felidae.